Molecule: ribosomal RNA, 4281 nt
Filed under: Triticum aestivum (bread wheat)
Lineage: Eukaryota; Viridiplantae; Streptophyta; Magnoliopsida; Poales; Poaceae
Description: partial small subunit ribosomal RNA
Source: RNAcentral
AGCACGGAAGGGUUUCAGGGCCUCCAGGGACAUUGACGGCGGUUGAAGUUUAGGUUCGGCGGGAUACCGGCAGCAGAAGGAGUUCAGGCCUCCGGUCGGGGACAAAGUGGCCACUCAGGGACAGCAGGCAGGCUAGAGGUAGGUUGGCGACAUUAAUCUAGCGGGUACAAAAAAUAAAUAAAUGGCUUUGUAAAAGGAAAUUCAACGCCAGCAAGCGACAAAUCGGUGUUGUCGUUUGGUGAGGUCGGAUAAUGUCAACGUGGUACACCGUUGCAGGGUCGUCAGCGCCAUCAAGAAGGUCCUUGUGACAGUACCGUGUUAAACAAAGCGUCUAAAGUAUAGUUUAAAAGCAAAUCCAUAUAGAACUCUAGGCAUUGAGAUUUACAUAGCUAAGAAAUAGGACUCAUGAACAUUGCUGGUCCUCUUAUGACAUCUUAGUUUUAAAGUGUAAAAACUCGACAAAUUUAAACUUAAACGAGUUUAAACUUAAAUUGGAAAACCUGCGAUAUAGAAAGUUUAGCAAGUAGGUUUAAUCAACUAAGAAAAACGUGACACUAGUAUGAUCGUACAUCUAUACUAUAUGGAUGACAAUGUAAAACAAUUAGUACAAAAAUAAACUUAAGGAACGACAACUGAAAUAACACCACAAUACAUUCAUACUAAAUAAAUAGUCACGGAGGCAAUUAGCUCUUUAUUCUCUAGGUCAGUUAGGAUCUGCGAGAGUCUCGAGUGCGCUAAGACCGGCAGGCUAAGUAAAUGAACUACGCAAAAGCCCGCAGGCUAGCUCGGGAGCCUACUAGACCCGGCGGCCUAGUAUUGGCUCGGGGACAUCGUUACUUGUCAAAGUGAAGCGCCAUUUAUAGACGACGGUGGCGGCCAAUUAUGUCGUGGGGCGGCUCCCGUUAAAACCCUAAAGUGGAUCCGGCCACCUUGCACGGGAGAGGGCUAAGCGGCGGGAGAGGGGUUAGCUUCUCUGCGCAUCCCAAACUGGAGAGGAGCGAAGAAAGGGCGUACAGAGAGAGAGCGUCAGCAGCAGCGGCGGUCGGUAGGAGGGGUAGCGGGGGAAAGGGGCGGGCAGGGCGAGCGGCACCGGAAGCGGCUACUGGCGCCGGGACGCGUCGUGUCACGGCUCGAGUACUCUUACUCUCCUCUCCUCGGCGGUGGGUUGGGUUGGGUAGGUUGGUUCCUCGGGCAGGGUAGGGUGAGGGGUGCUGCAGAGGGGAGGGUAGAGAGAGCGUGGGUGGAGCGGCGGCCGGUACCGGCGGGAGUAGGAGAGGAGGGGAGGGGAGGGGAGGAGAGGAGGAGGGGGCAGUAGUCUUCUCUUCUGUUCUGCUCUACCUCCCUCUAGGUGGCGCUGAGUCGACCAGUCCGCCGCGCGGGUCUAGGCCGGAACGAGACCGGUAGCGGCUACUCGACGCGGGUCAAGUCGGUACCGCGCUGGCUCGUCCGCUCCUCCCUCUGAUCGAUCCUCAGGGGGGAGAGAGAGAGCCCCCCGCGGCGGGAAGUAGACGAGGGCGCUACCGCGGCCUAGGUGUAGGUGUCGGUGCCGCGGCCGUGGGUACCUCACUGGCACACGAAGAAGAGGUACCUGUACCUCGAGGGUGUUGUGUGGUACCUUCCGGACCUCGAGGAAGAGUGUCGUCCACGUGGCGCAUGUCCUCCCUUCUGGUUGCGAGGAGGCCCAGACGAAGAAGGGCCCAGCGGCAACGAGGUGCCUUCCGCCUUUCAGUAUCUUCUACCAAGUAAUCGAAGUUUGUCUAGUCACCAAUGACUUAGUCAGAGUUUUAGAACAAGGAGGCGUCUUCACUUUCUACUUCUACGACGUUAACGUCAACACUAACUACGUCGACUUGAAUUUACCCCUCUCGUCAGUAAAUCCUCUCCUGUUCGAGGACCUUCCAAAUGUAGUCCUGCGGUAUUACCGGUACCUAGUAGUCUUUCCCUCCGUGGAGGUGGGCCGAUACACACGGCGUCGACGCCUCAAGGUCCGGUAAAGUAAGUUGUAACGGGUGUCCUUUUGGUCUACGGAGGUGGAUCGAUAUGGACGAUGUCUACGGCCCAAGGUCCCGUAAAAUAAGUCGUAACGGGUUGGUAACCGCCAAGGUUCCGUCAAAUAUAAAUGACACUAUGAGACUUGUACUCCUGGUACACCUGAUUUGAACGUACACCCACGUGGUUCCUCUUCCAGGGUGAAUAGUUCCCUAUUGUUGAUUAACCAGUCUGAAACACUUCUGUCCCCAACCUAUUAAACCUCUUACAGAAACGUAAGUUCCGAUUUUCCCCGUUUCACAGCGAGCAACAGAUGGACAAAACUGUUCCUUCGACUUCCACAAUGGUAAGUACCUGUACCUUGUCUUCGACGGGCCUAUAACACUGUUGUUUACCUCCAAUUUAGCCCUUCGCUUUCGGUCCUGAUAAUAGAACACUACACCGAAAGAACAUAGUGUAAACGGAACGAAGAGGACUUUCUCUAUGGUAAAACAACCACAAAUGACCAAUUAGGAAAACGUAUACAAAUGCCUACCUAUGAGCUACAAGAGCCAAGUAUAGCAACGACUAUGAACGGAAGAGAACGACUAAAGGGUUUAGUACGUGUAUCGAUAAAAUCAUACCCAAUGUUAUAGGGAAACAUUUUUUCGUAUAUACAUACAAUGGAAAACACACUCACUUUAUAAGUAGUCGUAACAUCACCUGUAUACGAGAAACAUGAUUUAAACUACAAAAGAUGACUUAGUAAGCUAAGAACCAUGGCCUGAUUACGAAGGUACUCUUUAUCGUCCGCGACCUAGUAACGGCAUCUAUCAGAAGGAGUACACAGAAACUCUUUAGGAUUACGAUCUAGUCACCGAGUUUAAAACGAAAACAUAGAUAAACCGCGGUGAGAUAGAUAUAGAAAAAACAUGGUGGAAGUAACGUUAAUGCUUAUGUUACAAACCAGCCUGUAUUCCAAGCUGACGAAACUCAACAAAUGUCCCGUGUGACUCAACAAAAUCAAGACUACUUCUACAGCAACCUAGCUACAACAAGAAUGUGGAAACUAAACUAUGUAAAUAAUGGUCCAACCUAUGCUGGCGUAGCCGUCCCCACGUCCAACGCCGUUCGGCGUCGAAGGUAGAUCAGUAUAUCUAACAGGUCUCACGCUUCGUCUAGUCUUAAUUAGCAAUCCCAUGGAGUUGUAGCAAGUUCCGUUCAAACGUGAAAACUAAAACGAGUAACAUAUAAUACGAUACGUACACACUAAAAUUCGAUACCAUUUGCAAACCGGACUAUACACAUAGAGUACAACAGUACAAACCAUAACUAACACAAUACACUACCACACUAGUUGAACGAUACCAUCUGCACCCGUACACAGCUCACUAGGUACUAUCACCACUCACAAAUAUCUACAUCCGAACCCUAAUAAUUUAUCCACUUACGCAGUAACCGUCUCGCGAGAUAACAGGGAUCUCUUACGUAGUAACUGUCUCGUGUGAACUCCGCUCCAUAUCAAAAACCUUGAAUUUAGACCACUUACGCAGGAACCAUCUUAGGGAGAGAGGGCACGGCAAAGCGGAGCAAGUCUAGAGUUCCCUCAAGUGGCGGGAAACUUCGAAGACAGCCAGCUAACGUAGCGAAAACCUCCAAGGGUCGAAGAGGAGGACGGGGGAGAGAGGGCACAACAAAGCGGAGCAAGUCUAUAGCAGCCUCAAGCGGCGGCAGACUUCGUAGGUAGCCAACUAACGUAGCGGAGACCUCCCUUUGUGAUGUGACUCAGGUAGCUCGAGCAAGCCUCGAGUUGAGGCGACGGCGGCGAGGUCGGCCAACGGUGGCAACCCCCUCGUUCGGGGUAAGUGGGGACGCCUGCACAAACUCAAGUGGCUGCGGAUGCUGUGGAACAGGACGGAAGGAUCUCAGAGCCUCCAGGGACAUUGACGGCGGUCGAAGUUUAGGUUCGGCGGGAUACCAGCAGCAGAAGGAGUUCAGGCCUCCGGUCGGGGUCAAAGAGGCCACUCAGGGACAGCAGGCAGGCUAGAGGUAGGUUGACUACAAUAAUCUAGCGGGUACAAAUAAAUAAAUAAAUGGUUUUGUAAAAGGCAAUUCAACGCCGGUAAGCGGCAAAUCGGUGUUGUCGUUUGGUGAGGUCGGAUAAUGUCAACGCGGUACACUGUUGCAGUGUUGUUGACACCAUCAAGAAGGUCCUUGUGACAGUACCGUGUUAAACAAAGCAUCUAAAGUAUAGUUUAAAAGCAAAUCCAUAUAGAACUCUAGGUAUUGAGAUUUAAGUAGCUAAGAAAAAGG